RNAcentral lists this ribosomal RNA (253 nucleotides) under uncultured bacterium. Its description in RNAcentral is "partial 16S ribosomal RNA". It matches the Rfam family "Bacterial small subunit ribosomal RNA", at positions 524 to 776 of the family's 1533-position model. The record is from RNAcentral.
UACGUAGGGGGCAAGCGUUGUCCGGAUUUACUGGGCGUAAAGAGCGUGUAGGCGGCCAAGCAGGUCCGUUGUGAAAACUGGAGGCUUAACCUCCAGACGUCGACGGAAACCGCGUGGCUAGAGUCCGGAAGAGGAGAGUGGAAUUCCUGGUGUAGCGGUGAAAUUCGUAGAUAUUCGCAAGAACACCAGUGGCGAAGGCGGCUCACUGGCCCGUAACUGACGCUGAGGCACGAAAGCGUGGGGAGCAAACAGG